Molecule: long non-coding RNA, 3812 nt
Organism: Patella vulgata (common limpet)
Lineage: Eukaryota; Metazoa; Mollusca; Gastropoda; Patellidae
Exons: 6
Source: RefSeq, a predicted model, not a curated record
UCUUUUAAAGGAACUAAGUCUCUAACUCAAUAUCAUCCAAAAUCUUCAACAUUUAAAACACGAAUUAUUUGUCAAUUUAAAACAACAUUGAUGCUGUGAUCUUACCGGAAAAGGGUGGGCUUCUGAUAUCCAAUAUUUAAGACAAAAUAAAUAUUUUACCAUUGGUACACGAAUCGUGUACCAUAAUGCGUUUCAGCCCCAGUUCUAGCAAGAGACUAGAGGAACGAGGCUAGACAUUGCACCAAACCAAACGGCUUAUGUAGACUGGAAUAACCAGACGCUAGGAAUUUGCACUCGAUUGAGACUGCUGGCUUAUUUCACGGAACAUAACUGAUUUGAAAUUAGAGUAAAAACGGAAACGAUUGAAUGUAAAUCAGUUUAUAUACAUUCAUAUUACGGUAUUAUAUGAGUUGCGACCCACUUGUGUCAAUUUCUAGGUCCCAAAUAUUAGCGAUUUAGCUCCUUUAAGAUGCAUUCUCCAAUUGUCUUAUUGAUCUGUGUUGAUAAUACUACACGUUGUUAUUGUAAUUAGCUGCAGUCACCUGAAAUAAUGAUACAUCGUUUUGAUUUAUUGUCAAUAUACAGAUGAGAAUAACAGAAAAAAGAACAUGUUGGCAUGGUUUGAUUACGGUACAUUAGUUUGUUUUUUAAAAAUUAAGAGUGGAAGAAAGCAUACGGUUUUAAGAAGAAAUCAGCAAUGUCUGCUCGACAUCAAGCAUCAAUAUGUGACUCAAUAAGGUGUCCGGUAAUAAGUGGCAUUGGGAGAGAACUGGAAAUGACGGAUAAAAGAAGAUUUACAUGUAUCAUUGGCAAAUAGAGAUGAAAGUAAAAAGCAAUGUAAGGGGCGACUAAGAAAUCAAUAAGAGGCAUGAGGAACAGCUAUUCUUCAGGAGAAACAGGGAUAUCACUAACACAGUUUAUGAAAGACAUUUCCUCUUGCAAGUGCUUGAACCUUAGACCAGUCUUUUGAACUAUUGCAUAUAUACGGUUGAUUUCCCUUGUUCGUGCAACUGUAGUUGGAGUAAUAACUUUAUGACAAACCCUGUCUUCAUUUGAGAGAACUGAUGGAUGCCAUGCAAAAUCAGGAUAUUGAUUGGCUCUGCCUGAAGAUUUAGCUCGAGAUAGGGCAACAAAGAGUGCUCCUGGAUUUCCAGAUUCAAACUGUUUUGAUCCUGGAUGAAUCACAAUAAAUCUAUUCUCCUCGCCUUCACCUAUAGUCAUCCCUUGGCACUUGUGAAUGGUAGUUGCCCAACUAAGACGAAGAGGAAUUUGCUUUCGCUUGCAGUUGUAACAUCCACAAUCAAAAUUACGCAAAACACGUAUCUUCAGAAAACUAUGUAAUGUUACACCCGAUAUUAUGUUGGCACUAUUUCCAGUUGGACAGAGAACUUGAACAGAUUUGUUGGUUUUAAACAGAGAUCGUAUACCAUAAACUAAACAUUUUAUGAGAUAAGACUUACCUGAACCAGCUGUACCAGAAACGAUCAUUCUAAGUGUUUUCUCCAAUUAGGGAAGUGAAGAAGAAGCAUCGUUCUACAAUAUUUAUCAUCUAAUGGCCAAACUGCCUGACUGCAAUUACCAGAAAUAACUGGUACCUUACCGGUUGCACAAAUAAAAUUGUAUAAGGAAUUGGUAUCCUGCAAAUGUCGUGAUAUAUAUAUUUAUCAACAAUUGAUUUUCUGGUAAGUGCUGAUUUACUAUGUUCCAAAUCAAGAACUAUGUUCCCUGACAGACUUACAUACUGAAAAUUAUGGCUGCAGCGAUAGAGGGGAAGACCCGCAAUUUCAUAUGAAGCUUCUACAGCUGAUAUGUCUCGCUUUACAGUUUUCAUUAAAAGCUGUGUACAGACAGACUUAGCUGUAGAUCCAGAAUUCCAUUCGACAUGUUUUAUUCAUAGAAUUUUUUGACGAUUUCAAGCAGAAUCCAUCAGAACACCUGUGCAAAUUAAAACGAUUAGUAAGAAGUAUAUAGUCCUCUAAUAAAGACUCCUGAGAGACACUGACAUCCAUGAGUAAUUUUUGUAAUGGGUUGUUUUCAUCUGGUGGUUGUGGUGCUGAGCCCUCAGGAGGCGGCCAAAGAUCCUUGUUGGAACUUCCAUCUGCAUUUCUAGCUGGAUGCAACGCAGUCAUGCCAAAUUCGUAUGAUGCCCAAUCAGCUAAGUUCUUAGCACAUGCAUCAUCACCUAGACCAGCUUCAAUGGCUUCAUGAAGCAACUUAUGAGGAUGUUUGUCAGAUCUCCAACACAAACCGUGCCAAUGCACCAUUCCCCUUGAUUUAGCGAAUUCCUGUCGAUACCAAAAAGUUUCAACACCAAACACAGGUUUCAUGACAUCUUUAAAAUAUGAUUUUGUUCUUAGAUCAAAGUACUGACUAACAAUGUGUGUAUUUUCUUGCAAUGUUUUGAAGAGAAUGUUACGAUUACUAAGAUCAAUAGUAUUUCCUGUAGUGUCUUUGCCAUACAAAUAAAGAAGCCUUUUAAUUGAGGGACAAUGGUAUUCUGCACAACUUCCAGUGGUGAAAAAUGAUGAUGUUUCAUUUAUUAUAUUAUCUAGAAGACUUUUUACCUGCUGGGUGAUGUCUACAGAUUCAUCUGGAAGCAGAACACUAGAAAAAGUUUGUCCUUCGACUUCAUCUCCAGGAUUCGUCUGCUGCUCUGCGGGACCCUUGUCUUCAGUAGAAACUAAGUUUGCAUUAGUUCCAAUUGUAUGAAUUUCCUUUAAUUCACCAUUAACUGGCAAAGACUCUAAUCUAGUUAUUGAAAUUGUUAUAUUUAACUUGAGCCAUUCUAAAGCAUGCUGUACUGUGUAUCUUCGUACAAUGAAAUCUUUGGAAGAAUCAUUUUGACCUUGCUUUUUUACCUUUAUUAUUUUUAUUUCAUGAGGGAGUCGGGGGAAUAUUUUUGCUGGCUCAUUUACCUCUUGUGGAAAAGUCACACAGUGUCCAGAAGAGGCAAUCCCCCCAUGUUUAAGCAUAUGAACAUUGAUACAUGGAGAUGUUCUACAAAUUAGCUGUUGUUCAAUAAUUGUUAAAUUCAAAAGCUCCUUUGGUUGCUUACCUGGAUCCAUGUUGUUUUCUGAUGAAAACAUUUUGAUUGCAGAUUUAUCAUUAAAACACUUCUUACAUACUUCCUUUUCCUUAGACAUUUUCAUAUCAAUCCGUCUCUCAUGACAGGUAUUACAAUGCUUUAUUUGAUAUGUCAUUUGAUUUAUCUCAAAACUUCUGAUUGCAUCCAUGGCUGUGUCAAAUUUGGCAUUUCCACUUAGGGGUUGAGCACUAGGAAUUGACGUAUUACAUGAUUUGAUUUUUUUAUUUUGCUUAUGUUUAUUAUAAUUAUUACGAUUUAAAUGACUUUUCUGUUCAUGCACUGUUUCAUUAUGUAGAUUUGAUGUUAUAUCACUUACCUGACUUUCCGGUAGAUCUACCUGUUUCAUAAUGUCUCUUUCUUUUUAAAAUAUGUUUUUGGUCAGAAAAUGUGUAUGUAUGAUCAUGUAAAGUAUGUAAUGGAAAUGCAUCAACAGUAGUAACUUGUUCUUUCCUAAAAUAUGUGUGAUCAACAGUAAUAACAUCUUGUAUAGUAGAAUUAUCUAAUGUAUCAACAAUAACACCAUCAUCUUUCCUAAAAUAUGUGUGAUCAACAGUAAUAACAUCUUGUAUAGUAGAAUUAUCUAAUGUAUCAACAAUAACACUGUCAUCUUUCCUAAAAUAUGUGUGAUCCAAGGAUGAAGGAUUUGUUUUAUUUAAAUGAUUUUGAUGUACCUCGUUAUCCUGACCUUGUGUAGUAUUUUUAUUACCAGUAUUGUCAAUAAGCAAUU